Long non-coding RNA from Poecile atricapillus (Black-capped chickadee), 524 nucleotides. RefSeq lists it as uncharacterized. The transcript is spliced from 2 exons. The record is from RefSeq and is a predicted model, not a curated record. Lineage: Eukaryota; Metazoa; Chordata; Aves; Passeriformes; Paridae.
ACAGCAUUAGCAAGAACACAGAACCAGGGACCCCGGGACAGCUUUCUCAGCUGAGAUGGGAUGGAGGAGAGGCUUUGUUUCACAAAACCCCUCGGGCAGUGCCAGUGCUCCUGCGGGGCUCUGAGGAACACUCAGCUGGAACAGCAGGGAUGAGCAGAGAUCCUGGGCUGGUGGAUGAGGUGGAUCAGCAGAGGAAUGAGCUGAGGUCCUGGGCCGGUGGCUGAGGUGGAUCAGCAGAGGAAUGAGCAGAGAUCCUGGGCUGGUGGAUGAGGUGGAUCAGCAGAGGAAUGAGCAGAGAUCCUGGGCUGGUGGCUGAGGUGGAUCAGCAGAGGAAUGAGCUGAGAUCCUGGGCCGGUGGAUGAGGUGGAUCAGCAGCUCCACGGCGGUGCCUGGCACUGCCACACGUCCCGGCAGGACAGGGGGUGCGAGGCCACCAACAAAGAGGGAAGAAGGAGAAGAAGCAGCAGCAGCUCCGUCUGGGUGAUGGUGAAUUCCCUUCUCUCUACCGCAGCAGCUCCGCGCCC